This 467-nucleotide ribosomal RNA is filed under the name uncultured bacterium. RNAcentral's name for it is "partial 16S ribosomal RNA". It matches the Rfam family "Bacterial small subunit ribosomal RNA", at positions 28 to 506 of the family's 1533-position model. The record is from RNAcentral.
GACGAACGCUGGCGGCGUGCUUAACACAUGCAAGUCGAACGGAAAGACCCUGCUUUUGUGGGGUGCUCGAGUGGCGAACGGGUGAGUAACACGUGAGUAACCUGCCCUUGACUUUGGGAUAACUUCAGGAAACUGGGGCUAAUACCGGAUAGGAGCUCCUGCUGCAUGGUGGGGGUUGGAAAGUUUCGGCGGUUGGGGAUGGACUCGCGGUUUAUCAGCUUGUUGGUGGGGUAGUGGCUUACCAAGGCUUUGACGGGUAGCCGGCCUGAGAGGGUGACCGGCCACAUUGGGACUGAGAUACGGCCCAGACUCCUACGGGAGGCAACAGUGGGGAAUAUUGCACAAUGGGCGGAAGCCUGAUGCAGCAACGCCGCGUGCGGGAUGACGGCCUUCGGGUUGUAAACCGCUUUCGCCUGUGACGAAGCGUGAGUGACGGUAAUGGGUAAAGAAGCACCGGCUAACUACGU